Molecule: long non-coding RNA, 7237 nt
Organism: Camarhynchus parvulus
Lineage: Eukaryota; Metazoa; Chordata; Aves; Passeriformes; Thraupidae
Exons: 8
Source: RefSeq, a predicted model, not a curated record
UGUCAGAGCAAAACACUUCUGCUGCUUAAAGUCAGAUCUACGUCUUUUGCAAUAAUACUUUAAAAAAAAAAAAAAAGAAGGAUAAAUAAUUGCCUUAAAGCCUCAGCCGAACUGCCAACCACACCUUCGGAUGUUAGAAGGCAGAAAUAUGUGAACUGCUGAGAGAGUUCUAGUUUCAGACCUGUCCUAACCCUGUGGUGCCUGCAAGAGGUGCAUCAGGAGGGGAAUAGUGUGCGAAUGCUGCUCGGGACGUGUUUGGUGAGUGGCAAUUCGGUCUCCACGCUGUGUCCCUGAGCUUUGUUAUUCUGCUUUUCUGUGCUAAGCUCUUGGUUGUUCUUGCCCUGGCAGAUUCUGUCUCUUUAAGUAACUAAAUCUCAUUUUUAAGCUAUUCCUGGGAAAAGGAUAUUACACAUGAGUAGAAAAAUGCAGGCAAGAAAGGCUAAUUGAAUGAAAAGAGAGAAUUAGGUUAAAAAUAGAGUACAAUCUAGUAUCACAUUUUCACUAGUGUAACCUGAAAUGAAGGUGUCUCCAAGUCCCCAGUGAUGCCAGAGUGUUUAGAUGUUGGGCACAGAUGGAGACACCUAUUGAAAUGUGUCUGAAGAAGAUUAAUAGGACUUGUCAGUGUUGGGAAAGCACUGCUUUGCUGUAAAUUUCUACUAGCACAAGAUGAAUUACCGAUGAAUGCUCAGUUAUCAACCCCAUCACUAUCAUUGGACACUAAAUCAAAUUGAGCAGUUAUCUACAAUCAGAAAAUUUCUUUUAAAAGUAGGCAUACACCUUUAGGCUUAAACUCUUUAAUAAGACAAUAUCCUCGAUGGUAUGUGUGUGUUCACAAAAGGAUAUGAUUAAAAGUUUCUAUACAGAAAGCUUCUGUUCAGAAAUGAACUCCAAGUUCAGUGUGAAAGCAGGGCUGUCAAACAAUAGAAGAUACUCAGAAAAUGCUGGUUAUAUAAUACAGAGUUCUGAUGGGGGUCUGAUCCAAAAUGGAUUUUUAUGUGUGUCAUUAGAUUUUGGAUCCAUCCAUGUUUAUGAGAGGUUUUUUACAAUCUCUGCUCUCCCCUUAUUUAUGGUCAUGAUAAACACACCCCUUCUCUCUACCUUAAAAACUGAGCAUCGAAAUCAUACAUUAAUGCAAAACAGCCAUCAUGACUCAGGAUAUAUGUAUAAUAAUAUUACCACCCCCCAAACAUAUUUAGGAAAUAACAAUAAUAUAAUGAACUAUGUGAUGAAAGAGUCAAUGAAUAAUAUUUUAGCUGAGAAUAUUUCUUUCUCUCCUUUAUGAAAGGGGAAACUGUCACAAGCAAAACUACCACAAGCAUUUAUCAGCCCACUCCUGAAGAAUAUUACCUGCAUUUACCAUCUGAUGCUGCUGAUGACAAUGAUAUUAAAUAAGCAUUACAUACUUUUAGUUUCUAGGAUUUCUUUCCCUCUCUCACAGACACUGAACACUUUAUACAAGGAGAUUUAUCAUGGUGUGUUUUCCAAAGUCAAUUUUUUCAUUUUUUUGAGACAAGGGAGGUCAUUUGUGUUUAGGGAGGGAGACAGGUACAGAGCCUUUAUCUGAUCUGCGUCCCCAGCCACCAGCACCUUCUUAAUCGACGGCAGAUCCCCACUCUAGAGGAUCUGGCCCUGUCUGGGUUACUUCUUAGCCCAGGAAUGUUUCCUUCCCUUCAUCUCCUCAUGUCUCACCUGUGGUGCAUGUUGCUUUUUGAGAAGGGAAUAACACACUGUUUACCACACAGCCCAGUUUCAAAGCCUUUGUGCGUUUCUCAUCUCCAGCCAAAGCUUAUUAUUUACCACCCUAAAAAUCCACCAUGGUAAGGGAUAGCAGAAGUUAUUUUCCUCAUUUUUACACCCCAAUUUUCACACAGCAAAUGCCCUGCCUUAGGAGCAGAUCCCACUCAGAUGGAAGUUAUUAACUUUCAGCAGAAUGGGGCGAUUUCAGCCAGCCACAGCCUGUGCCCUUCGAACACGGUCGCUUUGCAGCAUCCCCGUGUUUAUUUUUUUUCUUUGGAGGGCAUGAUUCUUUAAACAUAUUUGUUUUACACAGAGCAGCAGUUGAAUCCUAACUUUUUUUCCCCCCCACAAACACGUAAAGAGAAUAUUAAUAGGGAAUAUUAACAGAGGUGAGUGCAGCAUGAAGCUAGUUAGGUUGUAGUAGCUGAGAAAUAUGAACUAGUGAACAUAAUCCAUAAACUCCAUUUGGUUACUAUAAUACUCCAAUCUGUAUUUAUUACAACCCCACUCUGAUGCUUAUACAACUGCAAUUGCUAGAUUUAUACACUCUAAUGAUUUCACAAUAGGAAAAACCUGUGUCUUUAUCUUUCUUUUCCUGUCCAAAAUAACCCCUUCCACAUAUACUUCAGGCUUCUCUGGACCUUGUCUGGGUUUAAUCACAGGCUUUGGGACAAAAUGUGCAUUAUUAAGAAGUAUAAAUAUUUUCAGAAGCAAUCAAAGGGUUGAAAGAUUGAUUCGGCAUGUAGAUUGGAUUUAAUUCGAAGCAGCUUUGUUCUAAUGAGGACUACUGGGAUACAGAGACGGCAGCCGCUUAUGGCCACCAGUUGGGAACUUCCACUCGCUGCAGCAACCUGUCAAGAAUUCCAAGGAACUGCCAGGGUAAAAUUGCCUGCAGGGUACGUUUGCUGAAGCCUGUUAAUUCCUCCUGAGGUCAGUGGGUACCGGGUGCUGGGCAACACAGCCUCUCCUGGCCGGGCACGGUGGGCUCCGACUGCUUCCCAAGAGACAGGGACAGCAGUGAAGAACGUGGGAUUUCCCACAGGAAUUUGGAAGAUGCCCUUGUCUAAGACAAUGGUGACGAUUGGGCCAAAAUCCAGCCUUGAUUCCUUCAUCCAAAUGACCCUGUGCUGACCCACGGCUGCUGAUGGAUCGCAGCGACGUGGACCGUCCUCCCUCCCUCCUCGCUGCCCUGCAUCAGAUCUCCAGGAGGACCUGAGAGUACUGUAUGAACCAUCACAAGACCUGGAUUGGAAAGCAGGGGGACCAAGCACUCAGAGGUGGCUGAUGCAGCUGGUUCUCUGGCCCUGGGCUCAGCUCUUGGUCAUGGCCCAAGCACCAGAGGCCAGAGGUGGGGACUGUCUCUGUCUUGGCUACUCCUCAUCAGUGCUUUGAGCUGCACAAAGCCCUGAGAAACAAGGAAACACAAGUGCACCACCAGGGAUUGGCUCCCUCUCUACACCUGAAGCACAGCACGAAGUUCCAGCCUUUGCUUCUGCAGCAAGUUCUUGUUACCCAAUUCCUGCUGACAACAGAGGAAGAGGCACAAGUCAGCUCAGAAAAUGAACGACUAGAAGGUAAGUGAAAAGAAUAGUAAACACAGGCCAUUCAUGUAACAGGAUCCGAUUCAUUUUUAUGCCAGGGAGAUUUUUUAAAUGGGACUUCUCCCAGUGGAGAGCUCUCAAUGCUCAAGGCCUGUUUCACUACAAAGACAAUACAUAAUUAUUCUGGGCUUAUUAUUAUUUUUUAUCACUCUUAUUCCAGUUGCAGGGAGUGAGGGCAGAGAUGAGAUCAGGACCCAGCUUAUUGUGCAGCACACGGGGCUGCAGGACCCUGUGGAGGCAGGUAAUGCACCCAGGCUGAAGGUUCAGGUGGCAGGUCUGCGAUGGGAGAAUCCAUCAAAAUCCAGCAAAAAUGGGGACUCAGCCUCCUGAGCUCCUCAGUCCUGGGCUCCUGCUGCUUGUUGCUUUCAGCAUCUUCUCCCUUCACACUUAUUUUGAAUCACCGAAAUGAUGAAUUGAAAAAAUGUCAUGUCAUUUGAAGCACUCUUUAUUGUAUUUAUAGGAAACAGAUUAUCUGUUCUCUGAGGACAGUGGAAACUGAGUAUGAUGAGCUCAUCUGGAGAAAAUGUAGGUUGGGUGUGACAGAGAAACUUGUGUUUUAUACCUCAGUGACAUCUUAAUUUCUGGUUUUGGUAUGACAGACUCAGUGAUACUGAACCAUCCUGGUUCCUGCUUUCAGGCUGGGGUCACAAGUUGGACUUGGAAGAAGGAACUUCCAUGCAGAGAUGUGACUGCAGUGUGAAUACUGUGCCAGGUGUUUGCAGGUCCUGGGUUAUCUUAGGUGACAUUUUCAUGUUGACUGCUCUGUGUUAGCUCUUCUCAGGCAGAAGGCAGUGACAGUGGAUCAUGUGUUAUAGGUUUCUUUACAGAUGAAACCUGGAUUGUCCUAAAAUCCAGUAACUACUCAAUACCAGCAACUUCCACACCCCUCCGUGCUCCCGCCAUUGCUUUGAACCAGUUUAUUUAUUCAUUUGGGCUCUAAGCACUCGGAUGCAUUCCUUCUUGCUGCAACAGCAGGGGUACAGGAAGGGGUGUUUGAAAUCACGCAGUCAAUUCCACCCUGGAUUUCAGGAGGAGUUAUUCUUGUCUCAGAGAUGACGCAUUCAAAUAUCCCUCUACGGAUUCCAGUUCUCAGCCCAAGAGGUCAUGGAUGGUGACAGCUCUCAUCUACUUUGGAGCUGUUCUAUCUUCCAAGAGAAAUCAGGAAGAUGAGCUGGAAGAGAUGCUUUACUUUCUUUGGUAGGACAAUCUAUAAAUUAACAAUUAUGUAAGCGAGACUCUCACCACAUUUUUAAUGUUGUAUCACAUUUUGAGGCUGGAAAAUAGAAUGUCUCAGAACUAGGUGAUCUUGAAGAUCUUUUUCAACCCAAGCUUUCGUAUGACUCCAUGAUCUUCAGAACAAGAUGAAUAGUGUUACUAAUGCAACCUUAUCUCUGGUGCCCAUAGGUGCUCCUCAGCUCUGCCUUGAGGUGACACCGUUAAGCAAGAGGUGACAAACCGGUUUCCUUUCCCAAGGAAAUGUCACGUAACUGCCCAGGGGCCCCUUUUUGUGGGGCCUGGACCCUGAUUUUCAAUGAGAGAUGUGCUGCUGUGGCCCCUUCCCAGCCUGGCAGGAGGAGCUGAAGCUGCUCGUUCACAGCUGCGACAUGUCUCAGGCAGGAAGAAAGGCAGAAGGCAUCAGGCUGUAGGGAGAGAUCAGGGCAGCCACCUUCAGACACUGGCAAAGAAACCUGCAGAACUCAUCCAGAGGGGAUGAGCUCCCAGGGCUAGACCAUGCUGGUACAAAGGAUGGUGGUAUCAUCCUACGCACCCAACAAGAUUUGCUACUCCUAAAUGGGGGAGCACAUACAUCCAACCCCAAAUGCUCUGCAGUUCAUAGACUUGCUCCAGUGAAGAGAGCCCUGAGCAGUGAUGAGUGUUGUAGGAUAUGUGCUGCAGCAUUAGGACAGCCCAAGGAGCAGUGCAGAGCAUCUGUCACCAACAAGAAAAUAUCAUGUGGAAAGCUGCUGUAAUUCCUGUCCCCAGCAGCCUAACUGGAGGCACAGACUUCCCAAGGCUUGGAGGACUUGGAGAACUCAGGAUCCUCAGUGAGAUCUCUCCCCAAACGCUGCAGAUUUACCAGGUCAGCUCAGUCCAGGCCAAAGUUGCUGGGAAAGGUCCUUGGCUCUGCUCCAAGUUCAGUGCUCUAUUGAUUGGGGAGGUAUUUAUUGUAGGUCAGGAUCUUGAGCCAAGACAGCUGAAGCUGCAAGGACUAAAUUGUCUAUUCCCGACCCACAGAUAAAACAAAUGGCCAGUUUUAGCCUAAUCAUCACUUCUGCCUGAGGAAAGAGAAACUCUUUGAGGUAAGUUCCCUUGGAUAUAAUUCUUUCUUUCUAGGUUAUGGAAGGGCUGCAGCUAAUACAUAUCCUGAGUCAUAAUGUGGAUUUGCACCUUUCCUGUUAAAUAUAGCUGGUUUAUGUCCAAAGGAUCGCUCCUCUCCCUAAUGCUCACUCAUAUUGUUACAACUUCUACAUUAGUUGCAGGUGUGAAAUGCCAACUGAUCCACACUUCUGGCGCUGUCAGCAGGGGAGUAAUGUGUGUCAAAGGCCUGCUGCUCAGAGGGGAGGUCACCCCGAUCUCCAUUUGCACAUCUGCUUUGCUAAACACAAAACUCUGGAGGUUUGAAAAGCUCCAAUGUGCACAAAGUGGGAUGUGAUCACAUGUACAGAAGGAGCUGCUUGUGCCUGUCACUUAGUAGGCAGGACACAGAAUUUUCCCUCAGUACAAAAUUCUUCCUGCAUUACAACAGGUGAUGUUUUACUUGUAAGUUCUAUAUUAAUAAGGAAAAAACCACAUUUCUCUGCAUUCCACGAGCAGACAGGAUACCAAGGGGUUAAAAAAGAGCCUCACACAUUGAGCAGCUUCAGAAAGAUGCUAAUAUUCAGCAUGUCCCUGCUUGGAGUGUGCAGACAUGAGGAUCAGGGAAGUGCCUGAUCAGAGCUCCUGGAGGGACCGUGCUGCUGGAGCCUGCCUUGCACAGAGGCAUCCUGGCUUGGUUCUGAGGGCUUCCACAGGAGCUUUCAAACGUUUCUAUUUCCUGCUGUUAGUGGAUUUUUUUCAUACCUUGGAAUAAGUCUUCCGAUGGUAAUGUGUUUGCAGUUGAUGCUGAGAUAAUAGUUCUUGCUCAGGGGACCUCUAAUACACAGUAUUUUAUGCUUUCUACAUUUUAUGUGAGAUCAAGAACUCCUCCUAUAUGUACAUCUAUGCCUAAUUCUUUCUUGAUUCCUGCUAGAAUCUAGAAUAUCCCUCAGUAUCUGCCAUAAGGGUGCCCACAAGUAAUCUAUACAGAAUAUUUUUUGGUCUUAAUAUGUUUGGCCUUUCAAUGUCAUGUUUGUGACAUCAUGAUUCUGGUUACUCUGCACCUGCAGGACAUUCUAAAUACAUGCAUCCAAGCAUCAUUCACCACUAUGCACUUUAUUUUUUCCUCUCACAGUUGACUAUUUCCAAUUAUUUUGGGGAUAAUGAAACCCAUAUUGACCUUCUUAUCCAACAUGAGAAAACAGGGACACGGUCUUCAGCUGUAUGCUGAUGUUCCACGGCUGUAACAUCAUGUUCCAUGGAAUUUUGACCUUGUAUCCUCACAGUAACUUAGCCAGAAUUAAAGAAAAGUGAUUUCUAAAGCCCAAAGCAUAUUGGGGUGAGCCAUGAGCUGAACACAUAGGUCAGAGCAUGUUUCAUGAACAUGGAAUUCCAGCCCUGAGCCUCUGCUGCUCAUAAUGGACAUCUCCUUAAGGGAGCUGUUGAAAAUAAUUUCCAUGAGAAGCAGAAGAAAAUAAUUUUCAAAAGAAUCACUUUUAAUACUGAGGAAGGAGAGCGCUUGCAUUUUAAAGAGAAGUUUGAUUCUGGAAAAGACUAUUUGUUGGUGAGUUAGAGGAGCUGUGUUGUAGAAGGCAGAGUGGCUG